UGUCCUGUGGCUUGGUUAAACACCACAACUGCCUACUGAGCAGUAGGUCAUUGGUUUGAACCCGACCGGGGCAA
This 74-nucleotide transfer RNA is filed under the name Terrimonas ginsenosidimutans. RNAcentral's name for it is "tRNA-Ser". Lineage: Bacteria; Pseudomonadati; Bacteroidota; Chitinophagia; Chitinophagales; Chitinophagaceae. The record is from RNAcentral.